CUUGCACUCGUGGAUCAGUGGCGAACGGGUGAGUAACACGUGAGUAACCUGCCCUCCACUCUGGGAUAAGCGCUGGAAACGGCGUCUAAUACCGGAUAUGACCGACCCUCGCAUGGGGUGUUGGUGGAAAGAUUUAUCGGUGGUGGAUGGACUCGCGGCCUAUCAGCUUGUUGGUGGGGUAAAGGCCUACCAAGGCGACGACGGGUAGCCGGCCUGAGAGGGCGACCGGCCACACUGGGACUGAGACACGGCCCAGACUCCUACGGGAGGCAGCAGUGGGGAAUAUUGCACAAUGGGCGAAAGCCUGAUGCAGCGACGCCGCGUGAGGGAUGACGGCCUUCGGGUUGUAAACCUCUUUCAGCAGGGAAGAAGCUUUUGUGACGGUACCUGCAGAAGAAGCACCGGCUAACUACGUGCCAGCAGCCGCGGUAAUACGUAGGGUGCGAGCGUUGUCCGGAAUUAUUGGGCGUAAAGAGCUUGUAGGCGGUCUGUCGCGUCUGCUGUGAAAAUCUAGGGCUUAACCCUGGACGUGCAGUGGGUACGGGCAAACUAGAGUAUGGUAGGGGAGACUGGAAUUCCUGGUGUAGCGGUGGAAUGCGCAGAUAUCAGGAGGAACACCGAUGGCGAAGGCAGGUCUCUGGGCCAUUACUGACGCUGAGAAGCGAAAGCAUGGGGAGCGAACAGGAUUAGAUACCCUGGUAGUCCAUGCCGUAAACGUUGGGCGCUAGGC
RNAcentral lists this ribosomal RNA (730 nucleotides) under bacterium SCSIO13347. RNAcentral's name for it is "bacterial SSU rRNA". It matches the Rfam family "Bacterial small subunit ribosomal RNA", at positions 79 to 821 of the family's 1533-position model. The record is from RNAcentral.